Molecule: non-coding RNA, 26 nt
Filed under: Rattus norvegicus (Norway rat)
Lineage: Eukaryota; Metazoa; Chordata; Mammalia; Rodentia; Muridae
Source: RNAcentral
UGCACAGCGAGCCAGGGCCUCCAUCC